Molecule: long non-coding RNA, 356 nt
Organism: Rhineura floridana
Lineage: Eukaryota; Metazoa; Chordata; Lepidosauria; Squamata; Rhineuridae
Exons: 3
Source: RefSeq, a predicted model, not a curated record
GCAAACACUCAGGUUCCCCCUUCUUCUCACUGUUUGGAGUUAGCUUGACUGGAGAAGAAACAGCAGGAUGGAACUAUACCUUGUAAUUACCUUAAGCAAGUGGGCCAUAAAGGAUACAUUAUGAGGAAAGUGGAACAAGAAGUGGGAAAAACUUCAUCUGGUGAGCUGAACCCAGUCCUAAGUGCUAAAAUGUUUACUGCUUUCAAUCUGCCUGGCAGGGCACUCUGAGAAAAAGUGCUGAUUGGCAGCCUGCUGGCUCCCGGUUGCCUCCCAACUUUCAGGCAGUUGCCACAGCCCAGCACCUGAAAUGGUAGAAUUUUAAUUAUCUUUGGGAAGGGGAUGGUUCUACAAGCACU